Molecule: long non-coding RNA, 984 nt
Filed under: Centruroides sculpturatus (bark scorpion)
Lineage: Eukaryota; Metazoa; Arthropoda; Arachnida; Scorpiones; Buthidae
Description: uncharacterized LOC111639877, transcript variant X1
Source: RNAcentral
UUGGCAACACUUGCUUUGUUUGUAUAGCGUUUGUAGUAAACACGUUGUGUGAUGUAGGAAUUUAGAUUUGUUAAGACGAUUGUGAAUCCAAUUAUUUGUAUAACAACAAUAAAAUUUUCAAAAUUUUGGAAGGAGAUAUAUAUAGUAGAUUUAUUAAAGAUCGUUAUCAAAACACUCUUCGAGAAAUUGGACUAAAUUAGAUGAGACUGAAUUAGAUUUCAGAAAAUGGGAUCGGAACAUAGUCAUCAGUCUGCAAAUAGUUCACAAAGGAAUAACUCAAAUAAUAUCCCAGAUUCUAAUCAAGUCUUAAGAAGUUCUUCUCCUCGACCAUCUAUUAGUUCAGAUUCAGAUAUACCAUAUGUUUCGUAUACUGUAAAUAGACCAAUUGGAGUAAGUAAAUGUGUAUAAAAGAUGCCAGUCUAAGAUUGAUAUUAACAAGCUCUUCCACAUGAUCCAGUGCUCCCUUUCUAUGAGGUAUUGUCAAAGACUUUUAUGCACAGGAUAAGGAGUCUACAUCUUUAUAAUUAUGAAUUCCCUUCUCUUUGCUGCUUUAAACAUCUCAUGAAGCUCAGAGUUCUGAUGUGAUCAUUCUUGUAAACAAUUGAUUUAAAUGUUCAGUUUGUGAACCUGAAGGAAGAAUGCCUAUGAAUGAGGCUGAAAAUAUUAGUUUCAGUAAAAAGUGUUGCUGGAAAGAAAAAAGAUAUAUAUUUGUUUAUACUAGGUAUAAAUUUUUGUUUUAUCUAUCUGGUUAGAGUAUUCACUGAUAUCAUGUUCAAAAUGUUUAGUUAAAAUGCUUUAUAAAGUACAGUGAGUUUCAGAACAUAUUCAUUUUCAUCUAUUGCUGUUAAUCACUCAAAACUAUAAUGUGGCAAAUCACAUUUAGGAAAAUUGCUAUAUUAACCAAGUAGAAAUAAUGUGGGCCAAGAUUAAACCUGUUUGAUCUACUAGCUAUCAAUGAACAAUCUUGUUUUAUAUUAUAAUUUU